UUUUGGUUUGUUCAUAGGUUGAUUCAAUCUCCAUCACUCUACCUCAGUCCCUCUCUCUUUUGAAGAAGUCAAAACAAAGCCAAAUCGUAAAGAAAAACUCACCCUUGUUUUAGAACUCAUCAGAAGAAUGGACGAGGCUUGCUUAAUUUCCCGUCUUCCAAAAUGACAAGAGAAAUUUAUAUAUAUAUAUAUAUAUAUAUAUAUACAUAUAUAUGAACAUAAAAAUCACGAACUAAAAGAGGGAUAAUUCCAAUUUCUACCACAUAUAUAAAAGAAAUCCUUUCACGCAAUCAAUUUCAAAGAAAAGCUAAUUAAUUAAUCUAUAAAGAUAACACAAUGGAUUAAGAAAAGGAUUACAAAAUCAAACCCAACUAAUCUGAAACUGUGGAGUGCUCGAACAAUUUACAGAGCAAAUUAAACAAAGAGGAUGAGCAGUGGGAGAGGAACAUAAUAUAUGAAAAAUCUCUGAUAAACUCUCCAACAAUUUACAGAGCAAAACAAAUCCCUCAAGAAAUCAAGCUUCAGUAAAGAGGUUGGUGGGAGAGAAGAAAACUCCCUGUUAACAAUAUAUUUAUAGUAUUCAGUGAAGUCUAGUUAGGAGGUCUAAGUAGAGGAGGGUGCGCAGAGGAGGCAAAAGGAAGGUUAUGUAGUAUGAGAAAACGAACCCUUCUUGGAAAAGGUGCCUCGUUAAACAAAUGCUCCAAAACACUUGUCAGCAACGCCGUGUACUCCUCCAUCAGCUCCGCCAUUACCGCCACCAGUAUCAUCUCUUCUUUCUCUCUUCUCUUGUCUCUUGCCAAAGAAUUGCCAAAUGGGUUUAUCUCCGUCUAGACUCUUCAGUAGUAUAGUUUGGUACUCUGAAUGGUUUCUGGUUUUCUCUGGGAAUAUUUAAAGGAAGAAAUUAAUUUAAUUUAAUUCUUUUUGGAGUUUGGCUUUGCUAUUAUUAUUAUUUUAAGAAAAUGGUACUAUGCAAGAAGCCAUGAUUACCACGGCGGCAUCAAGAAAGCAAAGCAAUUCUCUUUGGACAGUGGGCUGUUUAUUACACGUGGACGUGAUUGCAGCAUGACAAUAUGAGCUUGCUUAGGUUAUAGUUUC
Molecule: long non-coding RNA, 1095 nt
Filed under: Populus tremula
Lineage: Eukaryota; Viridiplantae; Streptophyta; Magnoliopsida; Malpighiales; Salicaceae
Description: long non-coding RNA (PTRE_LNC000568)
Source: RNAcentral